AUGCAAGUCGAACGCAGUAGCAAUACUGAGUGGCAAACGGGUGAGUAUAAUGUGGGAAUCUGCCUUUUGGUCUGGAAUAACACGGGGAAACUUGUGCUAAUACCGGAUAAGCCCUUACGGGGAAAGUUUUAAUGCCGAAAGAUGAGCCUGCACUUGAUUAGCUAGUUGGUAAGGUAAAAGCUUACCAAGGCAACGAUCAAUAGCUGUUCUUAGAGGAAGACCAGCCACAUUGGGACUGAGACACGGCCCAGACUCCUACGGGAGGCAGCAGUGGGGAAUCUUGCACAAUGGGGGAAACCCUGAUGCAGCGAUGCCGCGUGAGUGAAGAAGGCCCUUGGGUUGUAAAACUCUUUCGUCGGGGAAGAAAAUGACUGUACCCGAAUAAGAAGGUCCGGCUAACUUCGUGCCAGCAGCCGCGGUAAUACGAAGGGACCUAGCGUAGUUCGGAAUUACUGGGCUUAAAGAGCUCGUAGGUGGUUAAAAAAGUUGAUGGUGAAAUCCCAAGGCUCAACCUUGGAACUGCCAUCAAAACUUUUUAGCUAGAGUGUGAUAGAGGUAAGUGGAAUUUCUAGUGUAGAGGUGAAAUUCGUAGAUAUUAGAAAGAACACCAAAUGCGAAGGCAACUUACUGGGUCACUACUGACACUGAGGAGCGAAAGCAUGGGUAGCGAAGAGGAUUAGAUACCCUCGUAGUCCAUGCCGUAAACGAUGUGUGCUAGACGUUGGAAAUAUAUUUUUCAGUGUCGCAGCGAAAGCAUUAAGCACACCGCCUGGGGAGUACGACCGCAAGGUUAAAACUCAAAUGAAUUGACGGGGACCCGCACAAGCAGUGGAGCAUGUGGUUUAAUUCGAAGAUACGCGCAGAACCUUACCAACACUUGACAUGUUCGUCGCGAGACUAAGAGAUUAGUCUUUUCAGUUUGGCUGGACGAAACACAGGUGCUGCAUGGCUGU
This 953-nucleotide ribosomal RNA is filed under the name uncultured marine bacterium. RNAcentral describes it as "bacterial SSU rRNA". It matches the Rfam family "Bacterial small subunit ribosomal RNA", at positions 55 to 1052 of the family's 1533-position model. The record is from RNAcentral.